RNAcentral lists this ribosomal RNA (422 nucleotides) under uncultured archaeon. RNAcentral describes it as "partial 16S ribosomal RNA". It matches the Rfam family "Archaeal small subunit ribosomal RNA", at positions 323 to 746 of the family's 1478-position model. The record is from RNAcentral.
CUACGGGUCGCACCAGGCGCGUAACCUUUACAAUGCACGCAAGUGUGAUAAGGGAAUUCCAAGUGCUCAUGUUUUGCAUGGGCUUUUUUCAAGAUUGAAACUCUUGGAGAAUAAGUGGUGGGAAAGACUGGUGCCAGCAGCCGCGGUAACACCAGCGCCACAAGUGGCGAUCAGCAUUAUUGGGCCUAAAGCGUCCGUAGCUGGUUUAAUAAAUUUUCUGUGAAAGUGUCAAGCUUAACUUGCCAUAUUGCAGAAAAGACUGUUAGACUCGAGACCGUGAGGAGUAAGAGGAAUUCUUGGGGAAGCGGUAAAAUGCUAUCAUCCUAAGAAGACCACCGAUGACGAAGGCAUCUUACUAGAACGGUUCUGACAGUGAGGGACGAAAGCCAGGGGAGCAAACCGGAUUAGAUACCCGCGUAGUC